Long non-coding RNA from Sciurus carolinensis (gray squirrel), 1454 nucleotides. RefSeq lists it as uncharacterized. The transcript has 3 exons. The record is from RefSeq and is a predicted model, not a curated record. Lineage: Eukaryota; Metazoa; Chordata; Mammalia; Rodentia; Sciuridae.
ACCUUGUUGGGGAGUGUCCCCUUCCCUUGUUGCUGGUCGAGAAGAGCAAGGGGGCUUAAGACCCCGACAAAUGGAGGCCGCGUGGGACAUGUGGAGCCCAGGUCUGUUCAGCACCAGCAUCUCCCUGCUUCCCCCUGGUCUGCAGAAGACACUGGAACUGAGACCAGAAGUCAGGUCUGAGUCCCUCCUCCAGUCUCAGGCCACCUGGGGGUGACCUCGAGCGCCAUUGCUGUGGUGUCAGCUGGGAGCCACCUUCCCCCUCCCUGGCCCUGUCCUUUCCUUGCUGUCUCCAUCUCCAUGACUGUGGCCAGAGGCCCAUGGCCACAGCUCAGCCACAUAUCCUGGGUUCCAGAGGAGAACGCACCAGCUCUCCCACCCCAAGUGCCAGACUGUCCACCAGGUUUCCCCCUUGCUUGGUCCAAUCCUCCUCUGCAUCCUGGAUGGGGCACCGAUUCCUUCAGUUCUCAGCACAGGCACUCUCCCGGGUAGCUCGUCCAGCCUGUGAGGCUCAGGAUCAGAUGUCCACUUCAGUCCAGAGAGUGUCAUUGUACAUGGACAUCCAAGAGUGGGAGGAAGAAAUGGAGCAGGGACUGCACCAGCCCCGGGGAGCCUCGGCCACGUUCUCGGGAGCCUCAGGCUUGGGGUUGGGCGCUGCCCACCACUGCCCAGCUCAUACAUAGCAUCAUCACCAGCCCUGCAGAUCAGACUGAACCCUGCAUCACCCCAGAGCCGGGCCCAGGGUCCCAGGUCUGGUUUACUUGGAUAUUUUUAAGGAUCCAGGACAGUGUUCAGAGGCACUGGUCCCUGACCAUGAGGUUGUCCCUGUCCACUGGGAGAACAGCCAUCUCCACCUGGACCCAGCCCUGGGGCACCCACAGUGACCGCCCUUAACUCACAAUAGAAAUGGAAUCAAGACCCCGAAGGUCACAGACCCGCAGCUUUACGUGCCCAGAUGCCGGGUGACCUGCUGGCCUGGAGCCCAGCAAGGACGUGCUCAGUGCAGAGGCCUCAGGGGCCACUCACCUCACGGAUGGUGGGAUGUGCAGAAAUCCGAAGCAGCUGAGGGAAAGUGGGGACGCACGCAGUUCAUUUCCACCCGACCCCGAGGUCCCCUCCUGUGAGAAGAGCCCCCACUCCUGCCCCGCGCUGGGAAUUGGACAGCAGGGGACGCCCGUCGUUACCAGGGUGAGGCACGGCCAUGACCUCUGCCUUGUCCAGUCCCUUGGUCUCCAUGAGCUCCUGGAACAUCUUCACCGCCUCGGGGUUCUCUUCCAUGGUGUGGCCUGCGGGCACAAUGAGGUGUGGCCAGGAGCCAGAACCAGGCCCCCCAGGCUGGGUGAACCUCUCCCCCGGAGGCCUCUGGCCACUCGGAGCACUCGAGUCUGCUGACCCAGGCCCAGGUCUGGGGAGCAGUGCGCUGCUAGAAGGAGCUUCAGAGAACCUCUUGACCAGCC